RNAcentral lists this ribosomal RNA (502 nucleotides) under uncultured bacterium. Its description in RNAcentral is "partial 16S ribosomal RNA". It matches the Rfam family "Bacterial small subunit ribosomal RNA", at positions 29 to 523 of the family's 1533-position model. The record is from RNAcentral.
AUUGAACGCUGGCGGCAUGCCUUACACAUGCAAGUCGAACGGCAGCGCGGGUGCUUGCACCUGGCGGCGAGUGGCGAACGGGUGAGUAAUACAUCGGAACGUGCCCUAGAGUGGGGGAGAACUAGUCGAGAGAUUAGCUAAUACCGCAUACGAUCUACGGAUGAAAGAGGGGGACCGCAAGGCCCCCUGCGCCUGGAGCGGCCGAUGUCGGAUUAGCUAGUUGGUGGGGUAAAGGCCUACCAAGGCGACGAUCAGUAGCUGGUCUGAGAGGACGACCAGCCACACUGGGACUGAGACACGGCCCAGACUCCUACGGGAGGCAGCAGUGGGGAAUUUUGGACAAUGGGGGCAACCCUGAUCCAGCAAUGCCGCGUGUGUGAAGAAGGCCUUCGGGUUGUAAAGCACUUUUGUCAGGAACGAAACGGUGGGGGCUAAUACCUCCUGCUAAUGACGGUACCUGAAGAAUAAGCACCGGCUAACUACGUGCCAGCAGCCGCCGUAA